GUGACGAUGAUUCAGCUUAGUGGCGGACGGGUGAGUAACGCGUGAGCAACCUGCCUUUCAGUGGGGGACAACAGUUGGAAACGACUGCUAAUACCGCAUAAUAUCCUUUUGGGGCAUCCCUUUUGGAUCAAAGAUUUAUUGCUGAAAGAUGGGCUCGCGUCUGAUUAGCUAGUUGGUGGGGUAACGGCCCACCAAGGCGACGAUCAGUAGCCGGACUGAGAGGUUGAACGGCCACAUUGGGACUGAGAUACGGCCCAGACUCCUACGGGAGGCAGCAGUGGGGAAUAUUGGGCAAUGGGGGAAACCCUGACCCAGCAACGCCGCGUGAGGGAAGAAGGUCUUCGGAUUGUAAACCUCUUUUACCAGGGAAGAAGAAAGUGACGGUACCUGGAGAAAAAGCCACGGCUAACUACGUGCCAGCAGCCGCGGUAAUACGUAGGUGGCAAGCGUUGUCCGGAUUUACUGGGUGUAAAGGGCGUGUAGGCGGGAAGACAGGUCAGAUGUGAAAUGCCGGGGCUCAACUCCGGAGCUGCAUUUGAAACCGUUUUUCUUGAGUAUCGGAGAGGCAGGCGGAAUUCCUAGUGUAGCGGUGAAAUGCGUAGAUAUUAGGAGGAACACCAGUGGCGAAGGCGGCCUGC
This 638-nucleotide ribosomal RNA is filed under the name uncultured bacterium. RNAcentral's name for it is "bacterial SSU rRNA". It matches the Rfam family "Bacterial small subunit ribosomal RNA", at positions 77 to 729 of the family's 1533-position model. The record is from RNAcentral.